UGAUGGCAAAGAAGGAUGCUUGAGUAUUGUACUAAAAAGAAAAUGGCAUUUGCCAUUUUCCUACUCUUUAGUAUUUCUGUAAUAAUAUUGGUUGUUGAAAGUGCAUGGCCAACGCAACACAAAAUAAAAGAAGUUAAAUUUCCAUCUAAUCUUGUUAAGCUGAACAAAUCAUGUCCCUCAAAGAAAGCAAAAGCUCUGACAGAAUGUGAGAGAUGCAGUAAAGAUGAACUGGUAAA
Long non-coding RNA from Saccostrea cuccullata (small rock oyster), 236 nucleotides. RefSeq lists it as uncharacterized. The record is from RefSeq and is a predicted model, not a curated record. The transcript is spliced from 3 exons. NCBI's taxonomy places the organism in Eukaryota, Metazoa, Mollusca, Bivalvia, Ostreida, Ostreidae.